GAGGUCUUAGUUUAAUAAAAAUGUCCGUCUGUGGAACGGGAGUUACUUUUAAGUAGGCUUUC
RNAcentral lists this transfer RNA (62 nucleotides) under Spirobranchus giganteus. Its description in RNAcentral is "tRNA-His". The record is from RNAcentral. Lineage: Eukaryota; Metazoa; Annelida; Polychaeta; Sabellida; Serpulidae.